UUGGAAGAAAGUUUGAUCCUGGCUCAGAUUGAACGCUGGCGGCAGGCCUAACACAUGCAAGUCGAGCGGUAACAGAAGAAAGCUUGCUUUCUUGCUGACGAGCGGCGGACGGGUGAGUAAUGUAUGGGGAUCUGCCCGAUAGAGGGGGAUAACUACUGGAAACGGUGGCUAAUACCGCAUGACGUCUACGGACCAAAGCAGGGGCUCUUCGGACCUUGCGCUAUCGGAUGAACCCAUAUGGGAUUAGCUAGUAGGUGAGGUAAUGGCUCACCUAGGCGACGAUCUCUAGCUGGUCUGAGAGGAUGAUCAGCCACACUGGGACUGAGACACGGCCCAGACUCCUACGGGAGGCAGCAGUGGGGAAUAUUGCACAAUGGGCGCAAGCCUGAUGCAGCCAUGCCGCGUGUAUGAAGAAGGCCUUAGGGUUGUAAAGUACUUUCAGCGGGGAGGAAGGUGAUAAGAGUUAAUACCUCUUAUCAAU
RNAcentral lists this ribosomal RNA (481 nucleotides) under Proteus vulgaris. RNAcentral describes it as "bacterial SSU rRNA". It matches the Rfam family "Bacterial small subunit ribosomal RNA", at positions 1 to 473 of the family's 1533-position model. The record is from RNAcentral. Lineage: Bacteria; Pseudomonadati; Pseudomonadota; Gammaproteobacteria; Enterobacterales; Morganellaceae.